GGGUUGUGAGGUUAAGCGACUAAGCGUACACGGUGGAUGCCCUGGCAGUCAGAGGCGAUGAAGGGCGUGCUAAUCUGCGAUAAGCGCCGGUAAGGUGAUAUGAACCGUUAUAACCGGCGAUACCCGAAUGGGGAAACCCAGUGUGACUCGUCACACUAUCAUUAACUGAAUCCAUAGGUUAAUGAGGCGAACCGGGGGAACUGAAACAUCUAAGUACCCCGAGGAAAAGAAAUCAACCGAGAUUCCCCCAGUAGCGGCGAGCGAACGGGGAGGAGCCCAGAGCCUGAAUCAGCAUGUGUGUUAGUGGAAGCGUCUGGAAAGGCGCGCGAUACAGGGUGACAGCCCCGUACACAAAAGCGCAUAUGCUGUGAGCUCGAUGAGUAGGGCGGGACACGUGGUAUCCUGUCUGAAUAUGGGGGGACCAUCCUCCAAGGCUAAAUACUCCUGACUGACCGAUAGUGAACCAGUACCGUGAGGGAAAGGCGAAAAGAACCCCGGCGAGGGGAGUGAAAAAGAACCUGAAACCGUGUACGUACAAGCAGUGGGAGCACCCUUUGGGGUGUGACUGCGUACCUUUUGUAUAAUGGGUCAGCGACUUAUAUUCUGUAGCAAGGUUAACCGAAUAGGGGAGCCGUAGGGAAACCGAGUCUUAAUUGGGCGUUAAGUUGCAGGGUAUAGACCCGAAACCCGGUGAUCUAGCCAUGGGCAGGUUGAAGGUUGGGUAACACUAA
This 731-nucleotide ribosomal RNA is filed under the name Salmonella enterica. RNAcentral describes it as "partial 23S ribosomal RNA". It matches the Rfam family "Bacterial large subunit ribosomal RNA", at positions 1 to 765 of the family's 2925-position model. Lineage: Bacteria; Pseudomonadati; Pseudomonadota; Gammaproteobacteria; Enterobacterales; Enterobacteriaceae. The record is from RNAcentral.